Molecule: ribosomal RNA, 301 nt
Filed under: uncultured bacterium
Lineage: Bacteria
Description: bacterial SSU rRNA
Rfam family: Bacterial small subunit ribosomal RNA
Source: RNAcentral
AAUCAACGCUGGCGGCGUGCCUAACACAUGCAAGUCGAGCGGGAAAGGGGGCUUCGGGUCCCUGAGUAUAGCGGCGGACGGGUGAGUAACACGUGGGUAAUUUGCCCUUGGGUGUGGGAAUAACUCAGGGAAACUUGAGCUAAUACCGCAUGACAUCCCCUUCUCACAGGAGUUGGGGAUCAAAGCCGGGACCCUUCGGGGCCUGGCGCCUGAGGAGAAGCCCGCGCCCGAUUAGCUAGUUGGGAGGUAAUGGCUCACCAAGGCUUCGAUCGGUAGCCGGCCUGAGAGGGCGGACGGCCAC